Molecule: long non-coding RNA, 2408 nt
Filed under: Homo sapiens (human)
Lineage: Eukaryota; Metazoa; Chordata; Mammalia; Primates; Hominidae
Description: HSALNT0363542
Source: RNAcentral
CCCGCCUCGGCCUCCCAAAGUGCUGGGAUUACAGGCAUGAGCUACCAUGCCCGGCCUCAGAAUCCUGGGACUUCUGCUGGAGCCAGGGGUCAGAACAGACUCCUCUACUGGGACUGCCUGGCAGGGAGGACAGACGCUCAAGGCGGCCCCAUGAGAACACAGCCACCUGGAAAAAUGGUGGAAGGGAAGAUUCUGCCAACCUCCUCCGACUCCCUAUCUCAGUUACACUGGUCCAUAAUUUCUUUUCUUUUUCUUAAGUCUGUUUCAUUGGUUUCUGUUCCUGGAAAAUGGACACAAUUCUGAUGAAUUCAUGUAUUCUGCAUCCACGUGUCAGCAUCUCCAGCCUUGUGACGCAGUGCCUGGCUCAGAACAGGCAAUCAGGCCAUGGCAUCUGAAUGAAUGAGAGGGUGUGCCCUGGCCGUAUCUCAGGCAGCAGAUGCAUUCAGCUGCAGGUAACAGACACGUAGACAAACAGUGGCUUAAAAAAGAGAGGCUUUAAAAGUAUUUUGUUUUUCUUUCUUCACGUAGCAAGAAGUCUGGCAUUUGGCAUUCCCAGGCUGUGGCGUGACAGCUUUGUGAAGUUAUCAGGGUCUCAGACCCUGACAUAUUUCUGCUCUGCUACCCUCAGCAUGUAGAUUUGAUCUUCACGGCUACAAGAAACCUGCUGCUACUGCAGGCAUCUUACACGAGUUCCAGGCAGGAAGAGAAAGGAAAGGGUGACAGAGACAGAAAGCAAUGUCCCCAGAUACCCUUAGUUUUCCAUCUCAUAAGCCAGAAUGAUGUCACGUGGCAUCCCUGGAUGCACAGGAGGCUGAGAGAUAGUGGCGUUUGUUAGCUGGUCUCCUAGCCAUCCUGAAUGCCAAGUUUGUUAUAAAGAAACAGAGGCAAAAUGGCGAUCAGGCAGGCAACUGGGUGGUCUCUGCCACGGGCCCCUUGGCCAUUCUUUGUAAUGAUGGUCUUUGUCUUGGACCCUAUUUUGGAUAUUUGGGCACCUUUGUGGUACCCUUAUGUGCUGGUUUUGCUGUUGUCUGCCCUUCAGGAAUAGCAGCUGAGUCAAGCUGUCCUUGGCUGCUCCAAUCUGGAGUCAGAGGUUGGAGAUUUCCAUGGCUCCCCAUGGCUCCUUGGGGCCUCCUAAGAAAAUGUUUUAAUAAGGAAGUCCAAGGCUGAGACAGACAUGCUCCUUCUUAGAGACACAUGGGAACAUGCCUCUGCUCACAGCUGGUAGCCACAGAUGUAAACCGUAGCCCAUGGAACGGAGACAGUGAAGAAUUGAUGGAUAAAUGAAUAAUGAUGAUGGACAGCAGAUGUAUAAAAGGCAUAAAAGGAUAGUGUUAGGGCUGGAAUGUCUUCCCCCCAAUUCAUAUGUUGAACCUUUAAUGCCUAAUACUUCAGAAAGAGACUGUGUUUGAAGAUAUGGUCUUUACAGAGGGAAUAAAGUUAAAAUAAGGUCAUUAGGGUGAGCCCUAAUCCAAAGGAUGGGUGUCCUAAUCAGAGGAGGAGAUUAGGACCCAGACACACACACACACACAGAGCCAGGUGAGGACACAGGGAGAAAAUGGCCACGUACAAGCCAAGAUGAGAGGACUCAGGAAGAACCAGCCGACUCCACCCUUCAAAACUGUGAGAACAUAGAUGUCUGCUGUUUGAGCCACCCUGUCUGCAAGCAGUCAGCAAGCAUUCAUUGAGUGCUUGCAGUAUUCAAGGCACCACAGAUACAAUGUUGAAUAAGGCAAAGCACCUGCCCUCAGGUAGCUUGCAGUCAGGGAGGUAAGGGUAGUGGGCAGAGAGACCUGGAAACAGAUAUUAGACCUGCACUAAGCAUGUGUGGUUAUUGAACAGUAAAAAUGCCACCACAAAUUGCGAUAUGAUGUAAGUAAAAUGCGUACUGGCUAUUGAAGACUUGGCACAGAAAAAUAAUGUAAAAUCUCAUUAGUAAUGGUUUUAUAUUGAUUACGCAUUGAAAUAAUACUAUUUUGGACAGAUUGGGUUAAAUAAAAUAUUAAAUUUGAUUUCGCCUGUUUCUUUUAUUUUCAUUACUUAUUGGCCAUGAUAUUUUAUUUAACUUUUAACUUUUAUUUUAGAUUCAGUGGUACAUGUGCAUGUUUGUUAUACAGGUAAACUCAUGGGGGUUUGGUGUACAGAUUCUUUGUCACCUGAGUACUAAACUUAGUACCCAAGAAUUAUUUUAUCUGAUCCUCUCCCUCCUCCCACCUUCCACCCUCAAGUAGGCCCCAGUGUUUGUUGUUCCCCUUUAUGUGACCAUGUGUUCUCACAAGUGAGAACAUGUGGUAUUUGGUUGUCUGUUCCUGUGUUAGUUUGCUAUGGACAAUGGCCUCCAGCUCCACCCAUGUUCCUGCAAAGGACAUGAUCUUAUUCUUUUUUAUGGCUGAAUAGUAUCCCAUGGUGUA